CCCUUAGAUGUUCUGGGCCGCACGCGCGCUACACUGAUGCAUUCAACGAGUCUAAAACCUGGUCUGAUAGGGCUGGGUAAUCUUUUGAAUGUGCAUCGUGAUUGGGAUAGAUGAUUGCAAUUCUUCAUCUUCAACGAGGAAUGCCUAGUAAACGCAAGUCAUCAGCUUGCAUUGAUUACGUCCCUGCCCUUUGUACACACCGCCCGUCGCUCCUACCGAUUGAAUGUUCCGAUGAAUACCAUGGACUGAGAGUAUGAAUGGGUUCGCCUAUUUCUGCUUCUCGGGAAGUGGAGUAAAUCUUAACAUUGAGAGGAAGGAGAAGGCGUAACA
This 330-nucleotide ribosomal RNA is filed under the name uncultured eukaryote. Its description in RNAcentral is "partial 18S ribosomal RNA". It matches the Rfam family "Eukaryotic small subunit ribosomal RNA", at positions 1470 to 1796 of the family's 1831-position model. The record is from RNAcentral.